CUCUGGGUCGGUGUCAAAAGGAUCCAGGGCGUGAAAGAG
RNAcentral lists this non-coding RNA (39 nucleotides) under unclassified sequences. The record is from RNAcentral.